GCUCUAAGCCAUAAGAUCUGAAGUUACAUGGGAUAAGAACACUGGUGUAGAAAUUCUAGCGGCUAUAAUAGCCCUGGUUCUUCUAGCCGGAUGUAAUAGCCCCUGGUGUAGAAAUUCUAGCGGCUUUUUCACCAAUAGCCACAAGAUCUGAAGUUACAUGGGAUAAGAACAUUCUGCAACAGCUUUUGUAAUGUCUUUUCAUCCCAAGUGGUCUCCGUCCGCAAUCAAAUCAGCUCUAAUGUCUACAGCGAGUUAAAUGCUUCUCUAUACUCAGAAGGCCAUAGAUCCAGGACUCGUCUAUUAAAACUUUGUCCAGGAGUAUUUUAAGAUAUGGCGCAACAUAUCUCAAACUCUAGGAAGUGUGAUCCACAAAAAUGCUAGUUGCCCUAUGAAAUUGGCUACCAAAGAUAUAAACUACCCUUCUAUGACAGUUGAAGUAGUAGCGGGGGAGUCAUUUGUGGUGUCUUUUCCUAGAAGCGUGACCAAUGUAGGUCGAGCCAAUUCAACAUAUGUUACACAUACAGAAGGAGACCGCUCAAAGUUGCAAGUUAGU
Molecule: long non-coding RNA, 553 nt
Filed under: Helianthus annuus (common sunflower)
Lineage: Eukaryota; Viridiplantae; Streptophyta; Magnoliopsida; Asterales; Asteraceae
Source: RNAcentral